Molecule: ribosomal RNA, 251 nt
Filed under: uncultured bacterium
Lineage: Bacteria
Description: partial 16S ribosomal RNA
Rfam family: Bacterial small subunit ribosomal RNA
Source: RNAcentral
GCAAGUCGAGGGGCAGCAUUUCUAGCUUGCUAGAAGAUGGCGACCGGCGCACGGGUGCGUAACGCGUAUGCAACCUACCUCUUACUGGAGGAUAGCCCGAAGAAAUUCGGAUUAAUACUCCAUAGUGUUAUUGAAUCGCAUGAUUUAAUAACUAAAGGUUACGGUAAGAGAUGGGCAUGCGUCCCAUUAGCUAGAUGGUAAGGUAACGGCUUACCAUGGCUACGAUAGAUAGGGGUCCUGAGAGGGAGAUC